UGAGAUAGAGGUUGCGUGACCUAUGAGUAGGCUGUCUGAUGCGCCGGAAGCAGGGGAGGAUAGCUCAAAGGAGAUCAUGCCGAAAGGGCAGACGGAUUUCGGACGGAUGUUUCUUGGGCGCAGCGUGAAGAAUGCUGCGACUGUCAUCGAAUACGAUGGAGCGCUAUCA
Molecule: non-coding RNA, 169 nt
Filed under: uncultured Eubacterium sp.
Lineage: Bacteria; Bacillati; Bacillota; Clostridia; Eubacteriales; Eubacteriaceae
Description: Lysine riboswitch
Rfam family: Lysine riboswitch aptamer
About the family: Riboswitches are metabolite binding domains within certain messenger RNAs that serve as precision sensors for their corresponding targets. Allosteric rearrangement of mRNA structure is mediated by ligand binding, and this results in modulation of gene expression.
Source: RNAcentral